UUUUGUACAUCAUCAUGUCUUUAUUCGAGUGUAAACAAACUCCGAAAAGAGCAUCAGCCAGGUUCUUGAUUAUUGGCGUUAACAUGAUUAAUUUGUUUUGCAGUCGUGGGUAAAACACAGUCACUCCACUGCAAAAAAGGGUCCUUUAAACAAGUCAUCUUGCACCGCCUUCGAUUAUCUCAUUUCUUUUUGUUUCCAACAGUCUUAAAAAUUAAUGCACCGACCAUAACUUUAAACAGGCAGAUCGUUCUUUAAAAGAAAGAAAAAAACAAACAGAAAUAAAACAAAAACAACAACAAAUGCCCUCGGAGCAAGAAAAUGAAAUCACCUUCCUCCACACCCCACAUCGUUCACAAUAAAUAAGACUGUAAAACUGUAAAAAGCUGAAAUGUUAAGUUGAUCCUAGUUUGCAGUGCGUAUAAUAAAUAACAUGAUGCAUCCAUAUUGACCUCAGUUCAGUCUAGCAGGGUAACUUUAUCUCUUCAUUCUUGCUGUAUGCAGUGUUUCUUACUUCCGGCUAAGGUGCUGAGAGUGUGUGUGUGUGUGUGUGUGUGUAAGAGUAAGAGAGAGAGAGAAAUGCCAUCGCUCAGGAAUGUGAUUCAGUGUUGUUUUGUUGGUAUGUUAAUAGUUAUGUUUUGAACACGAACGUGUGUCCAGAGGCUCAUUAGGUUAGUAGUUGAUCACAAAAAAAAAUAAAUUUAAAAAUCAUUAAAUAUGUAACAAUUCAAGGAGCUGCAAAAAUAACCCUCUCAAACAGAACAAUUAAAAGUUGAGCAGCGAUCACAGCAGUAGUGUUAAGCUCAGAGUGCAACAGAAUCCGUUUAAUCACUUCCAUCAUACAACAAAUAUAUUUACAAUCAAAAAACAAAACAUAAAUCAUUAAAGAAUUAUUACCACAUUCAGAUUCAGAACCACAGACGAGUUACGGACUAGCACUGUGUGAGAAUGUAUUCAUAGUGUGUGUUUGUGUUACUGACCUAUUCUGACCUUUCCACGUAACAUCUCCCGCUGGCCUUAAUGUGGAAACUUCACCAGUAGCAGCCUCCGUCUUCAGUGACCAAAAAAGCGACGUGUGUACUGUUAAGUGAUCCUGAACUGUCCCAAAACACAAAAAGAGCAAAGCGACGUGGUUUUUUUAAUGUUGAAAUAAGGUGACUUAUGUGAAACUUGAUGCAUUCGGACGCAGAUCUUGAAGUGGUAAGGGUUUCUACCCUCAGCUGUGAAACUCUCAUGUCCUGUAUUUUUGCAGAAUAAGCCCAGAUUUCAGCACUUUAAAAAAAACAAAAAAAACAAACAUCCUGUCCCUGUGGUUCAACAACUAAACACACGUCUAAAAGAAACUCCACAUAUACUCUAAGGGUUUUGCAGAUGCAACAAGGCAGAUAUCAGUAUUCUAAAAGUCAGUACCCAUUUGUGGUUUAUUUGUUUUGGUAUUCUGUACUUCAGAGAGCCACGCUGUACAAAAUGCACCAUGAGCAAACCGCACGCACGUAUCUUUUGGAAACGGGAAUAAGUGGGGAGGAAGGAUUCUGUCGAGCUCUGCUGUUAAUGUUAUUUUGACUGCAGAGAAGUUGGUGCAAACCUGUUGGCUGGAUUUUGGCUCCAAGAAAAAAAGAAGCUUUCAAAUGCGGUUACAUUCUUGUCGGACCACAACUUUCACGCGUGUCACUUCUUUCCCGGCUGAAAAAAACAAACCGCGGUGUGGAGGAAAUCUGUCUCCAGGUCUGGCUUUGAAGACGGAGGCUGGUUUGCCUUUGACAAACUGCUUUCUGAGCUGGUGCAACUCUAAAAGAGCAUCCUGCUUUUGUUGUGUGAUGGUAUGCAUUAAUGUGGCUGUGUAUGUAUGUUUGUGUGUGUGCGUGCGUGCGUACGUGCGAGUGUUGAAUCCUUC
Molecule: long non-coding RNA, 1891 nt
Organism: Astatotilapia calliptera (eastern happy)
Lineage: Eukaryota; Metazoa; Chordata; Actinopteri; Cichliformes; Cichlidae
Source: Ensembl